GUGGUUACAUGUCUAGUCAUGGAGUGACGGGCGGCAUUUGUGUGAACAUUUGAGGUUCACUGCGAGAGAGAUGCUCGUGGUGUUCAAAUUCUCUGAAAAUGGCAGCAAUACCUUGCACUAGUUCCUUCCAUUCCCCAACAACCUUCAUCAACUCCUAAACUAUGCCUGUUGGAUUCCGUUAAACAAUAAGAAUAAGUUGAAGAAUCUCAAUCCUCGUCUUCCUUACACUUGAAAAAUCUCAAUCCUCGUCUUCCUUCACCUCCAAUUGCGGAUUUACCUUUUGACCUAUCUCAUCCACCCAUCGAUCACGACUUCCUGGUGUUGAUUGCAUUCUUGGUGUUGUAGAGCUGCUCUUGCUUUGACAUCUUGAAAGGUAUGAUCCGGUUGGGGUUGGUGUCGGACUCCUCCGGCUUGUAGUCCUUGAGUGAAAUGAUGAUCGACGAGAAAAGAAACCAAUAUCAUCCACACUUUCAUGGUGAGAAUGAGCUCCUGCCGUGGUGGUUGGGUCUUCUUCAUUUGCAAUCUUGGUGAUUCCAAGGAUGCUGUAGGAGUCUUUUGUUGAAUCUCCCAUUAGAGGAAGAGAGGGAUCGGUAGAAAUUGAAGAUACGCAACCAAGAAGGAAAUUGAAGCCUCUUUAGUUGUGGAAGGUCCUUUUAUUACGCACCAUCUGUUUUACUUGGAGGUACGGCAGUUUCUAUGUUUAGAGGUUAUUUCACUUCCAUGUCCUAUAUUUAGCUAAAUUUUGAAUUAAUCCACCCGCUUUUCCUAACCACUAUGUUAUUUAUAUGUAUUUUCAGU
This is a long non-coding RNA of Tripterygium wilfordii, 798 nucleotides long. RefSeq lists it as uncharacterized. NCBI's taxonomy places the organism in Eukaryota, Viridiplantae, Streptophyta, Magnoliopsida, Celastrales, Celastraceae. The transcript is spliced from 3 exons. The record is from RefSeq and is a predicted model, not a curated record.